CGCCUGAGGAUGGGCCUGCGUCCGAUUAGGUCGUUGGUGGGGUAAUGGCCCACCAAGCCUGCGAUCGGUACGGGCAGUGGAAGCUGAAGCCCGGAGUUGGGGACUGAGACAAGGCCCCAGGCCCUACGGGGCGCAGCAGGCGCGAAACCUCUGCAAUGCGGGAAACCGUGACAGGGGGAUCCCAAGUGCUCAUGCAUUGCAUGGGCUGUUCUUUGGUCUAAGUAACCAGAGGAGUAAGGGCUGGGCAAGACCGGUGCCAGCCGCCGCGGUAAUACCGGCAGCUCAAGUGGUAGCCGCGAUUAUUGGGCCUAAAACGUUCGUAGCCGGAUAAGUAAGUCUUUGGUUAAAUCCUGCGACUCAACCGUGGGAAUUCUAGAGAUACUGCUCGUCUUGAGACCGGGAGAGGUUGGAGGUACUCCUAGGGUAGGGGUGAAAUCCUGUAAUCCUAGGGGGACCACCUGUGGCGAAGGCGUCCAACUGGAACGGGUCUGACGGUGAGGGACGAAACCUAGGGGAGCGAGCCGGAUUAGAUACCCGGGUAGUCCUAGGCGUAAAUGAUGCGAGUUAAGUGUGGGGGCAUCUACGAGAUGGCCCUGUGCUGUAGGGUAGCCGUUAAACUCGCUGCCUGGGGAGUACGUCGCAA
This 643-nucleotide ribosomal RNA is filed under the name uncultured euryarchaeote. RNAcentral describes it as "bacterial SSU rRNA". It matches the Rfam family "Archaeal small subunit ribosomal RNA", at positions 200 to 846 of the family's 1478-position model. The record is from RNAcentral. Lineage: Archaea; Methanobacteriati; Methanobacteriota.